RNAcentral lists this small RNA (695 nucleotides) under Pan troglodytes (chimpanzee). Its description in RNAcentral is "processed transcript". The record is from RNAcentral. Lineage: Eukaryota; Metazoa; Chordata; Mammalia; Primates; Hominidae.
GUGUCCGACGCUGGCUCCGCUCUAUCCGGCUUUGCUAGGGGAGCUGCGGCAGCCGCAGCAGCGGCUGCAGCUGCAGCCAUGUUAAACCCUGGGCAACAACAGCCAUAUUUCCCAUCACCGGCACCGGGGCAGGCUCCUGGACCAGCUGCAGCAGCCCCAGCUCAGGUACAGGCUGCCGCAGCUGCUACAGUUAAGGCGCACCAUCAUCAGCACUCGCAUCAUCCACAGCAGCAGCUGGAUAUUGAGCCGGAUAGACCUAUUGGAUAUGGAGCCUUUGGUGUUGUCUGGUUGAGAAUCUGUAGUACUGAGAAGUUUCUCCACUAUCAGCCGAGAUUAACAGCCACAGCUGGAUUCUUUGGGGGCUCUGCUUUGUGAAAAGAGCUUUGAAGAAGCAGAGCCUGCACCAUAAAAAGGAAACGGUUGCUCUUCUAGACAUAACAAAGCAUCCGUAUGAAACUAGAAAUGUGGAAAUCUGUAUUGUUAAUUUUAACUACAAACGAACUUACUUUUGGAAAUUACAGGUUCAUGAUCAUAAAGUAGAUAAAGAGUAGAGAAUAAAAGUAACAAUCUGAUGAUUCUGCACCCACUUCUUGGUGGUUGAAACUCCAUAGCCUAUAACGUUGCAAGUCAUUUUGUACUUAGACUCCUGAAAAGAUUAUCCAAAUUAUGUUCAAAAAACCACAGCACAAAAAAUA